CGAACGGGUGAGUAACACGUGGGUGAUCUGCCCUGCACUCUGGGAUAAGCCUGGGAAACUGGGUCUAAUACCGGAUAUGACCUCGGGAUGCAUGUUCUGGGGUGGAAAGUUUUUCGGUGCAGGAUGAGCCCGCGGCCUAUCAGCUUGUUGGUGGGGUAAUGGCCUACCAAGGCGACGACGGGUAGCCGGCCUGAGAGGGCGACCGGCCACACUGGGACUGAGACACGGCCCAGACUCCUACGGGAGGCAGCAGUGGGGAAUAUUGCACAAUGGGCGCAAGCCUGAUGCAGCGACGCCGCGUGAGGGAUGACGGCCUUCGGGUUGUAAACCUCUUUCACCCAUGACGAAGCGCAAGUGACGGUAGUGGGAGAAGAAGCACCGGCCAACUACGUGCCAGCAGCCGCGGUAAUACGUAGGGUGCGAGCGUUGUCCGGAAUUACUGGGCGUAAAGAGCUCGUAGGCGGUUUGUCGCGUCGUCUGCGAAAUCCCGCAGCUCAACUGCGGGCUUGCAGGCGAUACGGGCAGACUCGAGUACUGCAGGGGAGACUGGAAUUCCUGGUGUAGCGGUGAAAUGCGCAGAUAUCAGGAGGAACACCGGUGGCGAAGGCGGGUCUCUGGGCAGUAACUGACGCUGAGGAGCGAAAGCGUGGGUAGCGAACAGGAUUAGAUACCCUGGUAGUCCACGCCGUAAACGGUGGGCGCUAGGUGUGGGUUUCCUUCCACGGGAUCCGUGCCGUAGCCAACGCAUUAAGCGCCCCGCCUGGGGGAGUACGGCCGCAAGGCUAAAACUCAAAGGAAUUGACGGGGGCCCGCACAAGCGGCGGAGCAUGUGGAUUAAUUCGAUGCAACGCGAAGAACCUUACCUGGGUUUGACAUGUACCGGACGACUGCAGAGAUGUGGUUUCCCUUGUGGCCGGUAGACAGGUGGUGCAUGGCUGUCAUCAGCUCGUGUCGUGAGAUGUUGGGUUAAGUCCCGCAACGAGCGCAACCCUUGUCCUGUGUUGCCAGCACGUGAUGGUGGGGACUCGCAGGAGACUGCCGGGGUCAACUCGGAGGAAGGUGGGGACGGCGUCAAGUCAUCAUGCCCCUUAUGUCCAGGGCUUCACACAUGCUACAAUGGUCGGUACAGAGGGCUGCGAUACCGUGAGGUGGAGCGAAUCCCUUAAAGCCGGUCUCAGUUCGGAUCGGGGUCUGCAACU
RNAcentral lists this ribosomal RNA (1199 nucleotides) under uncultured bacterium. RNAcentral describes it as "bacterial SSU rRNA". It matches the Rfam family "Bacterial small subunit ribosomal RNA", at positions 99 to 1312 of the family's 1533-position model. The record is from RNAcentral.